RNAcentral lists this ribosomal RNA (253 nucleotides) under uncultured bacterium. RNAcentral describes it as "partial 16S ribosomal RNA". It matches the Rfam family "Bacterial small subunit ribosomal RNA", at positions 524 to 776 of the family's 1533-position model. The record is from RNAcentral.
UACGUAGGGUGCGAGCGUUGUCCGGAAUUAUUGGGCGUAAAGGGCUCGUAGGCGGUUUGUCGCGUCGGGAGUGAAAUCCACUGGCUUAACUGGUGGCUUGCUUUCGAUACGGGCAGACUGGAGGUAUGCAGGGGAGAACGGAAUUCCUGGUGUAGCGGUGAAAUGCGCAGAUAUCUGGAGGAACACCGGUGGCGAAAGCGGCUCACUGGACCGUGUCUGACGCUGAGGUGCGAAAGCUAGGGUAGCGAACGGG